Molecule: non-coding RNA, 32 nt
Filed under: Homo sapiens (human)
Lineage: Eukaryota; Metazoa; Chordata; Mammalia; Primates; Hominidae
Source: RNAcentral
CAGAUGAUCCUAUCAGCAACGAGUUUGUCCAA